AAAGUUAAAUGUUAUCUUUUUAUUGAUUUUUGUUGUGUUCGACUCUAUAUAAAGAAAGAGACAGGAUCUCAGAAACAAAAAUGAAGGUAAAGAUAUAUUCCAUGGAUACAUACAAUUGGAAUAUAGGUCUACAUGAAUGUUUUUGAAAUGCUUAAUUUUGAUUGCUAAUUUUUGGAGUUCAAGAAUAUACUGUGAUAGUGCCUUCUUUUAUUUUAAAAAAUUAAUGUUUUGUGUUUUUUGAGUAUACUUGUCUGCUGGGUGCCUUUGAUUGCUUGAUAUCUUUAUUGAUAGACCUUAACAUGUUGUUGGCUUUUUUAUUCCUUUAAAUUUUCCACACUACAAAUUUAUAUGUCUCCAUGUGGCAUGAUUAUCUAGAACCAUACAUCAAAGUAUUCACUUUGUUAUCGUCUAUCAGGAUAUGCUUUUGAGUACACUGUUUUAUAGCACUAAAUUUUUGUUUAUUAAUUUGUUAUGUGGAUAAAAGUGGAAAAUAUUUGUGUAAAGUAUGUUUUAAAUUUUAUUUGUAACCACAUUUUCUCCAAAGCUUUGUCGGGAAUCGUGAAAGAGGAUAUAGUGCCUCUUGGGGCGGCCGGUUCGUUUGUAAAUAAGUUUUGUUAUACCUAUGGUUUUGUGCUACUAUUAGUCAAUAUCCAAAUCAUCAAUACGUUAGAGAUUUGAUACAAUUGUUGCAAGCAGGUGAACAAGCAUCACUAAUGUGCAGUAAUUUUCAUGGAUUUAUAUAUGGAUUCAUGUACAGAGAAGAAGAGCAAUAAUUUAGUAGCAAGUUGAUACAUGAAUUCAUAAUAAGGAUUGUGAAAUCUGGUAAAAACAAUGAAGUGUGAGUAAGAUUUUAUGACCAUCCUGCCCAUUUCAGAAUGAAAGAAUUUUGCUUAAUCACUGAAUUACCUUGCCAUGAAGCAUCUAUUAAUCUUGACGGUAGUAAUCCUCGACUUAGAAACCAGUAUUUCAAUGGUGUGAAAAGGAUUUAUAUGAGAAUACUUCGUGAUGUCUUCCAUUCAUGUGAAGAUCGAGAAGAUAAAUUGAAAUUUGAUCGGUUAUGUUGAUAGAGUGUGUUUUCAAAUCAACUGAAAGACACAAUGAUUAUAGAAUGCUAGAUAUGGUUAAGCAGCUUGAUGAUUUUCUUUUGUAUCUAUGGGGUCGAAAGGCAUACUUUGUUUUGUUGAAUUCAUUGCAACAAUCACACCUAGAAAGAAUAUAGAGAAUGCAACAAGCUGAGCAAAUGGAGUGUAAAUACGCUACAUGAAUAUCCUCUUGCUUUUCAGUUUUGGAUAUACAAAAUAUUUCCCAAUAUUGGAAAGAAAUUUGGACACCGAAGAAAUAAAACAUUACAAAUUUCAAGAAUGCAUAAAUGGAAGCUGAAGGAAAUAUUGAUAGACAAAAUUGUAAAACAAUAUUUGACGACACACGAGUAUUACAACCAACAGAAGAAGAUUUGCAGACAGUGUGGUCACUACUCUGUCAUUACCAUUACACAAUAAACAUAUUAUAUUGGACGUAAAUGUCAUUGGAGAACUUGACAACACUGUACCACAAAUUUCACAAGGCAAUCGUGUGCAGCAAACAAUUAAUGCUGAUGAUACUGGUACUUCUAGAACAUACACUUUAGUUGGAGUGGAGGCUAAUUAUGCUUCUGUUACUAUGUAACAAAAGAACAGAUGGAAGAUAUGUUCGGUACACAUAGGCAGUAUGUAUUUGGUCUGUGUGAUAACUUGAAGGCACACUUGGUUGAAGAAUCAAGAAAACAACAAGUUGAAUAUCUUGAAAUCCAAAAGCAAAUGUUUGAAGAACGGUAAAAAUGGCACAAACAUCAAUAUCAAGAGCUGCACUCUGCCUUCCAAUCUAGUAUGCAAUCUACAUCAUAUGUGGAUACUUAAGCUUUUUGCCAGGAUUUUUAUGGUACACACAUGGUUGAAGAAUUAAGAACACAAGAAGCUCAUUAUCAAACAAUUCUUAAUAAUAAGAAAGAAUUCUUUCAGCAACAACAAAAAUGGCAAGAAGAUCACUAUUAUGGAAUGUAAUCUUAUGUGGACAACAGUUUAACAUCAGUGAGACCUUACAUUGAUGAACAGAACAACAUGUUGAAUAGAAUGGGUGUUGGAGAAUCAAAUAUGGAAGCUAUUGUUGGUUGUUUAAAGCAAGAUACUCCUGGCUCUAGCAAUAAAAUUAGUGGCAAGAAAGGAAGACCUGAACAAACUCAACCUGAUAUGUCCACAAAAGAGAAGUAUAAUAGGAAGAUAAAAUCUUUAGGUUAUCCUCUAGAGCACUAUUCUAUGGAGAGGUAUUCAACAGUUAAAGAUUGGGUGAUGCUGAAUAAAUCAAGGUAAAAUAGUUACAUUGUAUUCAUUUAACACUAACCUAAACUAUGAUAUACAGUACAUAUUGGAAUUUUGGAGGCAAUAUGUAUGGAAGAGACACACUAAAAAAUAUAAUAGAUGAAGACAAAGAUAUCAACGUUGCUGUUAGUGAAGGUUACAAAUCAUAAUUAAUUUCAAUCUACACUUGACAUAUCUAAUUUAUAUAUAUUAAUUGUAUUAGACUAUAGAGAUGGAGUUAAAGUUGUUGAGGGGAUUGAUUAAAGAAAGCUAUACUCUACUCUAUAAAGAGUAUGUAAUUUUGGACUUCAAUUUUGAAACUGAAUACAUUCAUCAAAUGAUGUAGCAAAGAAAUUUAAAAAAAGGAAGUCCUUGUGUACAUGAUCGUCAAAUGGAUUUCAUUGUGUUACAAAAAUACAUUAGUGGCAAUUUGCCAGAGGCUAGUCAUCCAUGGGUAGCAUGCAACUAUUUAUUAAUUCAAUGUUCAUAUCCAAGCGAUUAUAAUUGUUAUAUUUUUGUUGUUGAUUUUCGUGAGUUGAAAUUUCAAAUAUAUGAUUGUAGUCAUGACAUUCACACAUAAAGAGAAAUCAGGAAACAAGUAGGUCCAGUAUUUGAAAUACUUCAAAUGUUAUUGACAAAUUCAAAUUUUUGUUCUAGCAUACCUGAUUUAAGAAAAUACAGAAACAAGCGGCUUAAAGUGGAGAUUAUAACUUACUUGUCUUGCGCAAAAUAAUGGAAUAUUUGAAUUUGAAGCUUCAUCUGAAGACCUGAAAAUGUCUCUCUUUGCUUGAGGUGACAAAUUCUCUUGAGAGUGUAUAUAGGUACUUUUUUCACCUGUUGUACCUAUACCUUGAAAUAUCAACAUUUUCUUGGCUUUUUUACUCCUGGAUUUGUCUGGUCUAAAUCUAUCAUAGAGAUAAUGUCAAAUCUAUAGCUUGAUGAAUUAGGCUCAGUUUGGAAUGCUUUCAAGUAGAACACUCGUUCAGGAUUUUUUAUUGUUUUAACGACAGCUUCAAAGUAUGUUUGUGAAUCUUGUAUGUUAAUGAUGUAUUCUAUAAAUAUUGCUUGACCAACAUGUUUAUGGAGCGGCAAAAUGUUGAAGUUACAUCAAAAUUCUUACAAAAUUGGUUUGCUCCAUCAGAGAAUGUGCA
Olea europaea var. sylvestris is the source of this 3484-nucleotide long non-coding RNA. RefSeq lists it as uncharacterized. Lineage: Eukaryota; Viridiplantae; Streptophyta; Magnoliopsida; Lamiales; Oleaceae. The transcript has 4 exons. The record is from RefSeq and is a predicted model, not a curated record.